AACAACAAAAUGAGCAAACAUGAUCAGGCAUUGCCUGGUGGUAGUUUGAAUGUAAUUGGUCCCACAGGUCCACAGGAAGCGGCUCUAAGUAUAGCCUUGUUGGAGGAGGUGUGGCCUUACUGGAGGAAGUGUGUCACUUUGGAGGCAGCUUUCAGAUCUCCUAGUGCUCAAGUUCCACCCAAUGUGGGAGAACCUACAGCUGCCUGAGGAAGACAAUCUCCUCCUGGCUGCCUUCAGGUAGAGAUGUAGAACUCUUGGAUUCUCCAGCACCAUGUCUGCCUGCCCGCCGCCACACUUCCUGCUAUGAUGAUAAUGGACUAACAAGCCUCUGAAACUCUAAGCAUUCAAACAGGCUCAAGAGAUUUCCACUGCAAACAAAGCACUGCGGAUCAGACACUCUGCUGACAGCAACGAAAAAGUGAAAUAAGUACAUUGAAAUCUAUGUAUAAACCUUGCUAUGGUUUGAAUAUUUGGAACAGGGAGAGCCACUACUUGGAGGUAUGGCCCUGUUGGAAUAAGUGUGUCACUGUGGGUGUGGCUUUAAGACCCUCUUCCGGCCUGGAAGCCAGUCU
Long non-coding RNA from Mus musculus (house mouse), 572 nucleotides. RefSeq annotates it as predicted gene, 38331. The record is from RefSeq and is a predicted model, not a curated record. NCBI's taxonomy places the organism in Eukaryota, Metazoa, Chordata, Mammalia, Rodentia, Muridae. The transcript has 3 exons.